Molecule: ribosomal RNA, 506 nt
Filed under: uncultured bacterium
Lineage: Bacteria
Description: partial 16S ribosomal RNA
Rfam family: Bacterial small subunit ribosomal RNA
Source: RNAcentral
AGUGAACGCUGGCGGUAGGCCUAACACAUGCAAGUCGAACGGCAGCACAGGAGAGCUUGCUCUCUGGGUGGCGAGUGGCGGACGGGUGAGGAAUACAUCGGAAUCUACUCUGUCGUGGGGGAUAACGUAGGGAAACUUACGCUAAUACCGCAUACGACCUACGGGUGAAAGCAGGGGACCUUCGGGCCUUGCGGGAUUUAAUGAGCCGAUGUCGUGUUAGCAAGUGGGCGGGGUAAAGGCCCACCAAGGCGACGAUCCGUAGCUGGUCUGGGAGGAUGAUCAGCCACACUGGAACUGAGACACGGUCCAGACUCCUACGGGAGGCAGCAGUGGGGAAUAUUGGACAAUGGGCGCAAGCCUGAUCCAGCCAUACCGCGUGGGUGAAGAAGGCCUUCGGGUUGUAAAGCCCUUUUGUUGGGAAAGAAAUCCAGCUGGCUAAUACCCGGUUGGGAUGACGGUACCCAAAGAAUAAGCACCGGCUAACUUCGUGCCAGCAGCCGCCGUAA